GAUGAACGCUGGCGGCGUGCCUAAUACAUGCAAGUCGAGCGAACGGACGAGAAGCUUGCUUCUCUGAUGUUAGCGGCGGACGGGUGAGUAACACGUGGAUAACCUACCUAUAAGACUGGGAUAACUUCGGGAAACCGGAGCUAAUACCGGAUAAUAUUUUGAACCGCAUGGUUCAAAAGUGAAAGACGGUCUUGCUGUCACUUAUAGAUGGAUCCGCGCUGCAUUAGCUAGUUGGUAAGGUAACGGCUUACCAAGGCAACGAUGCAUAGCCGACCUGAGAGGGUGGUCGGCCACACUGGAACUGAGACACGGUCCAGACUCCUACGGGAGGCAGCAGUAGGGAAUCUUCCGCAAUGGGCGAAAGCCUGACGGAGCAACGCCGCGUGAGUGAUGAAGGUCUUCGGAUCGUAAAACUCUGUUAUUAGGGAAGAACAUAUGUGUAAGUAACUGUGCACAUCCUGACGGUACCUAAUCAGAAAGCCACGGCUAACUACGUG
RNAcentral lists this ribosomal RNA (497 nucleotides) under uncultured bacterium. Its description in RNAcentral is "partial 16S ribosomal RNA". It matches the Rfam family "Bacterial small subunit ribosomal RNA", at positions 28 to 507 of the family's 1533-position model. The record is from RNAcentral.